GAUGAACGCUGGCGGUAGGCUUAACACAUGCAAGUCGAACGGAAGCGCCGUGAGCUUUUGGUGUGCGCGAGUGGCGAACGGGUGAGUAACACGUGUGUAACCUGCCCUUGACUGUGGGAUAACUUCACGAAACUCGGGCUAAUACCGCAUAGGAGAUCCGGCUGCAUGGGGGGGGUUGGAUAGUUUCGGCUGUUGGGGAUGGAGGCGCGGGUGAUCGGCUGGUUGGUGAGGGGGUGGCUUACCAAGGCUUUUGCGGGUAGCCGGCCUGAGAGGGGGACUGGGCACCUUACCACUGUGAUACGGCCCAGACUCCUACGGGAGGCAGCAGUGGGGACUAUUGCACGAUCCGCCGAAGCCUGAUGCAGCAACGCCGCGUGCGGGAUGACGGCCUUCGGGUAGUAAACCGCAUUCGGCUAUGACGAAGCUUGAGUGCCGGUAACGGGUGAAGAAGCACCGGCUAACUACGUG
Molecule: ribosomal RNA, 468 nt
Filed under: uncultured bacterium
Lineage: Bacteria
Description: partial 16S ribosomal RNA
Rfam family: Bacterial small subunit ribosomal RNA
Source: RNAcentral